RNAcentral lists this ribosomal RNA (433 nucleotides) under uncultured bacterium. Its description in RNAcentral is "partial 16S ribosomal RNA". It matches the Rfam family "Bacterial small subunit ribosomal RNA", at positions 29 to 507 of the family's 1533-position model. The record is from RNAcentral.
AACGAACGCUGGCGGCAUGCCUAACACAUGCAAGUCGAACGAGACCUUCGGGUCUAGUGGCGCACGGGUGCGUAACGCGUGGGAACCUGCCCUUAGGUUCGGAAUAACUCCCCGACAGGGGUGCUAAUACCGGAUAAUGUCUUCGGACCAAAGAUUUAUCGCCUUUGGAUGGGCCCGCGUUGGAUUAGCUAGUUGGUAGGGUAAAAGCUUACCAAGGCGACGAUCCAUAGCUGGUCUGAGAGGAUGAUCAGCCACACUGGGACUGAGACACGGCCCAGACUCCUACGGGAGGCAGCAGUGGGGAAUAUUGGAAAAUGGGCGAAAGCCUGAUCCAGCAAGGCCGCGUGAGUGAUGAAGGCCUUAGGGUUGUAAAGCGCUUUUACCCGGGAUGAUAAUGACAGUACCGGGAGAAUAAGCUCCGGCUAACUCCGUG